This 74-nucleotide transfer RNA is filed under the name Patescibacteria group bacterium. Its description in RNAcentral is "tRNA-Trp". It matches the Rfam family "tRNA". From Rfam's summary of the family: Transfer RNA (tRNA) molecules are approximately 80 nucleotides in length. The record is from RNAcentral.
AGGGGCGUCGGUUAACGGUAAACCGUCGGACUCCAAAUCCGAGACUGGGGGUUCAAUUCCCUCCGCCCCUGCCA